GUGAGCUGUGAGGAGUGUGCCCUCUUGCAGGACUGAGGGAAAGGGGGCCGUGGUGGGGUGCCGGCAGUCGCCCACACACUUAGCUCAUUAGAUCUUUCGCCCUGAAGUUUUUCUCCACCCUUAGUCCAUACGCAUAAUGCAUUAAUUUCACAUUCAAAAGCAGAGUGCUUUGGUUGAACCAUAGUAUUUAGCAGCGUGUUAGCGUGGCGGGGAGAGAGGCACGGGGUGAAGAAAACCCAGUUUCUUUCCUGCAGUUGCUCUCAGUAUGGCACCAGAGCACAGGGCUAUGGAUGAAUGAUCCAGGAGCGAUAUACCGUGGAUGCAAAUAAAAAUAUGUAGCAGAAACACAGAGCUUUGCUACAUAAGUUCAGGAGAGAAGAUUCUGGAUUCGGACUUAGUUUGCUCCCUAGCCAUGUAACCUAAAAGAAAUUACUGGAUCCUUCCUGCCUUCAGUUUUCCAGUGUGUAAAUGGGAUUGAAAUAGGUGUGCCUGUCUAUCAGGGAGUUAUGGUUACCAGGGUUGCAGGAGGUGACACAGGUGUAACACAAGCCACGUUCCAGACUCAUGGUGAGCACUUGAUAAAUACCAGCUUUUACCAGCAGUUGUCCUUGGGGGUAGCAUUUGGAGUAAGAGCAGUGGGAGCAGUCAUGGGUAGGAAUCAGGAUCUGGAAAGACGUUGAGGUCACAUUGACAAAGACGUGAGGGCAUGCAGGAACACGGCACAUCUGGGUAAUAAUUAAUAGGCCAAACUAUUCCAGUGUUCCAGUGGGAAGGAACGGAGUUGGAAAAAGACCAGGAAAAGAUUGUACAGGGUGGGGCUGAUAGAGGGAGCAGCCGGCCUGAGGGCCAAGGCUGCCCACUGGCGUUUUGAAGGCAGUGGUCGUGAAUGUGUGUCAGGAACACUGCAGGAAUGGCCACAGAGUUUUGCAGGCGGCACGUGCCGGCGGGUCUCUGAUGCAGGGCCACACAGGGAGCCACCUGAACACCGUGAGAGGGACCAGGCAGACUACCUUGCUCUUGUGUAUCUUCCGGCCAUCCCAGAAGCUGCUCCUGUGCUGCUCAGGAAGUACUGUGGGAGCCGUGUCGGUCACCCAGCUAACAAAACCACCCGAGCUCGUCAGGGUUCCACCCAGCGCCAGUGCAGUGGGGGCUAACAGACCUCAGAAUGUGCAGCCUUGAACAUGGCAAAGGUGACCCGGAUGUGGUCCAAUGACAGAGGAAACUGUGACGUCAGCAGCCUUGCUUUGUGUCUCCAGUCCCCCAGCUCUCCACUGCUGCUCAUCCCCUGGUUUAAGAGAAUUCCAGAGAAAACGUGCGUCCUGAGAUCCUGCCUCUGGCUGCCUUUUUGUCUUGGGAAACUGUGUCCUUCCUCAUCCCAGGCCUUAAAUUAAAGAGGUUCACUUGGCAUGCUUCAAUUAACUGCUCCUUCUUAUAAAUUUGCUUUUAUAAGGGGGAAUUUAUAUAUUUAUAUGUGGGAAAAAAGUAUGCAUUUUUAUAAAUGAGCUGCAACUAGAAAAAAUAAAUGCAAUUAAAUAUUAUUAUUGAAUUACA
This is a long non-coding RNA of Oryctolagus cuniculus (rabbit), 1551 nucleotides long. The record is from Ensembl. Lineage: Eukaryota; Metazoa; Chordata; Mammalia; Lagomorpha; Leporidae.